UACAGAGACUGCAAGCGUUAUUCGGAUUCACUGGGCGUAAAGGGUGCGCAGGCGGCCAAGUGUGUGAGGCGUGAAAGCCCGGAGCUUAACUCCGGAAUUGCACCUCAAACUACAUGGCUAGAGCAUUGGAGAGGGUAGCAGAAUUCACGGUGUAGCAGUGAAGUGCGUAGAUAUCGUGAGGAAUACCAGUGGCGAAGGCGAGUCUCUGGACAGCAACUGACGCUGAGGCACGAAGGCCAGGGGAGCAAACGGG
Molecule: ribosomal RNA, 253 nt
Filed under: uncultured bacterium
Lineage: Bacteria
Description: partial 16S ribosomal RNA
Rfam family: Bacterial small subunit ribosomal RNA
Source: RNAcentral